UACAGCGAAGACCACAUGGCCACGUAUGAGCAAGUGCUUCGAUGGUGAUUCAGUACGCAGUUUCGCAAUUUGGGAAUGCGUCGAUCUCGCCGGCAGGCCAGGAAUGAUAUUGGACGUUUAUCGAUGCCUUAAUGGAAUUUUAUGAACGGAUAGGUAUAUCUAGUUUAUGAGAUCUAGUUAUGAGUUUAAUUUGUUAUUGAUUAUUUAUUUUCCUACCGAAUUUAAUCAUAUUACUGUAACUUUAUAUCGGUGGCUUUUAUGAGACAUUCCUUAUAAACUGAAAUUUAAGCGGCGUAGAUGUCAUACUAAUUUAUUUUAUCAAUUGAAGAAUAGAGUAAAUUGAUUAUAUAUACAUUAGGACUACCUCUUUUUAAAUUUAUCGCGGAAUUUGUGGUUAUCUGUUCAUAAUAUCUUCU
RNAcentral lists this unclassified non-coding RNA (416 nucleotides) under Bombus terrestris (buff-tailed bumblebee). RNAcentral's name for it is "misc RNA ENSBTSG00005033920.1". The record is from RNAcentral. Lineage: Eukaryota; Metazoa; Arthropoda; Insecta; Hymenoptera; Apidae.